This 425-nucleotide ribosomal RNA is filed under the name uncultured bacterium. RNAcentral describes it as "partial 16S ribosomal RNA". It matches the Rfam family "Bacterial small subunit ribosomal RNA", at positions 354 to 796 of the family's 1533-position model. The record is from RNAcentral.
GUGGGGAAUAUUGGGCAAUGGGCGAAAGCCUGACCCAGCAACGCCGCGUGAAGGUAGAAGGUUUUCGGAUCGUAAACUUCUAUCCUUGGUGAAGAUAAUGACGGUAGCCAAGAAGGAAGCCCCGGCUAACUACGUGCCAGCAGCCGCGGUAAUACGUAGGGGGCAAGCGUUGUCCGGAAUGAUUGGGCGUAAAGGGCGCGUAGGCGGCCCGGUAAGUCUGAAGUGAAAGUCCUGCUUUUAAGGUGGGAAUUGCUUUGGAUACUGUCGGGCUUGAGUGCAGGAGAGGUAAGCGGAAUUCCCGGUGUAGCGGUGAAAUGCGUAGAGAUCGGGAGGAACACCAGUGGCGAAGGCGGCUUACUGGACUGUAACUGACGCUGAGGCGCGAAAGUGUGGGGAGCAAACAGGAUUAGAAACCCCGGUAGUCC